CUUCUUAUCUGCACUAGCCUCUGAGACUGAGAUGGUAGGGGGAGCGUUGAAACGUUUGCAGCUGUGGGAGGAAAAAAAAGGGAGAAUGUUCUUUAAAAACAUCC
Chelonoidis abingdonii (Abingdon island giant tortoise) is the source of this 104-nucleotide non-coding RNA. Lineage: Eukaryota; Metazoa; Chordata; Testudines; Testudinidae. The record is from RefSeq and is a predicted model, not a curated record.